UACGCAAAAAAGCCCCCCCAAAUGUUCUUCAAAAAGAUCCCAUACUUUAACAUGGCCUUUUCCACUAAUUUUGAGGUCACGGUGUGGGUCACAGGAGUGAUGUAAAUGGUCAGAAAUCAGGUCACUUCAUCGUCAUAACCCUCCCUUUAAGGCGGUAGUGUCUGCAUUCUGAUAUGUCAUUCUUAGUCUAAAGAGCCCCCUCAAAUGUCCCCAAAAAAGCUCCUAUACUUUUAACAUUGUCCAAAAUCCAAAAACUCUCCAUGUCCAAAAUGUGCGUAAGCCAGCUCCUUAGGUCAACUCAAAGUUGCCCACAUUUUCCCACUACUUUUUCCUUUAUAAAUCCCAAAGUUUGAAUGGCAAGUUACUUUUGCAGUUUUGCAACCCCAUUUUGUGGGUAAGCAAGCUUUAUAAAUGACACCCCAGGCCACUAUAAAACUUACUGAUGUACAUCUGCAGCAUGCAAGGACCAUUUACAGGGGUUGAUUUUAUUUGUCACAGUUUUCACCCCUUCAGAGUUUGUAGGUAUGAACGUUCUUGUUCUCUGCACCAUCACAGUUGAUUCAUUGGUUGAGCCCCAAUACAUAAAAAAUAAAUUAAAUGAACAGGAUAAAUAUUAUAUAUAUAAUGUGUGUGUAUGUAUGUAUGUGUGUGUAAGCUGUUGAAAUAUAUGCUCAUAUAUUUAUUAAUAAAUAUCUAAUAUAUACAUAUGAGACUCACAUGGUCAAGUGUGAUUUUAGUUUUCAGCAGAAACAGACUUUUUUGGGAGUGGGGGUGGGGAGUGGCUCUGCACCUGCACUGGACAGGGGAGCAAAAGUUCAUGAUGCAUUCAGGGAAAAUUGGUGUGUCCAACUAUACUGAAAUAAAAACAUCUAAAGAGGUUUAUUUGUGAAUGCUAUGAGUUUUCUGUAAAAUGAUUAUUGCUUAAAUAUUGCACAUGAAAUUAGCUCAUGCCUGAAGUCUGUUAAGACAUUAUCAGCUGGAAAACCCUAAAUUUUUAAUGUAUCAAGUUUGCAGUCUCAUUGUUCGUGAAAGCAGCAUGUGCAUUGUAGAUGGAAAGUACCGGAGCUGCCCUGGAUCUCUCCAACUUUGUCAGUCUUUGACUAAUUCUACAGAGGAAAAGAGGAAUAACUCCACAGCCCAAAAAGACAUGCAGAGCCAAUGCCCCUCAGGAGCUGGGAUUCCAGAGGAUUUCAAUGAGAAAGAGAAAACAGCAUCUUUCAAAAGAUAAAAGCUGAGAAACAAAAGCAAUGGGCUCGACCAAAGUUCUGAAGAUGAACCCACCUUGUGCACCCAAAGGCCUACAGGGAAAUCAAAGAAGAAGCAGACCAACAAAGGAACACCCACCCAUUCCCCUUCCCUGCUCACUGUCCAUGGUUUUACUCAAGAUCAUCCAGAUAUGAUGAGCCAAGAACCUUCAGGAGCUGAGUGGUCUAAGGAGUCAAAUGGAAAGGACAAAACAGACAUGGAUCAACAGGAUUUAACCUCUAAGAAAUUCAACCGAAAGAUUUGGAGCAAAUCUGGGAAAGAAGCGGUUUGGCAACAGUUUGGUCGGUACAUCACU
Nothobranchius furzeri (turquoise killifish) is the source of this 1561-nucleotide non-coding RNA. The record is from RefSeq and is a predicted model, not a curated record. NCBI's taxonomy places the organism in Eukaryota, Metazoa, Chordata, Actinopteri, Cyprinodontiformes, Nothobranchiidae.